RNAcentral lists this ribosomal RNA (490 nucleotides) under uncultured bacterium. RNAcentral's name for it is "partial 16S ribosomal RNA". It matches the Rfam family "Bacterial small subunit ribosomal RNA", at positions 29 to 507 of the family's 1533-position model. The record is from RNAcentral.
AGUGAACGCUGGCGGCAGGCCUAACACAUGCAAGUCGAACGGCAGCACAAGAGAGCUUGCUCUCUGGGUGGCGAGUGGCGGACGGGUGAGGAAUGCAUCGGAAUCUGCCCAUUUGUGGGGGAUAACCUCGGGAAACCGGGACUAAUACCGCAUACGACCUACGGGUGAAAGCAGGGGAUCUUCGGACCUUGCGCAGAUGGAUGAGCCGAUGCCGGAUUAGCUAGUUGGAGGGGUAAAGGCCCACCAAGGCGACGAUCCGUAGCUGGUCUGAGAGGAUGAUCAGCCACCCUGGGACUGAGACACGGCCCAGACUCCUACGGGGGGCAGCAGUGGGGAAUAUUGGACGAUGGGCGCGAGCCUGAUCCAGCCAUGCCGCGUGUGGGAAGAAGGCCUUCGGGUUGUAAAGCACUUUUGUUGUGAAAGAAAAGCAGCCGGUUAAUACCCGGUUGUCAUGACGGUACCCAAAGAAUAAGCACCGGCUAACUUCGUG